GACGAACGCUGGCGGCGUGCUUCAGACAUGCAAGUCGAGCGGGCGGAGGUCGAACCGCAAGGGAGGCUGAAGCUAGCGGCGAACGGGUGAGUAACACGUGGGUAAUCUACCCGGAAGACUGGGAUAACGGCCCGAAAGGGCCGCUAAUACCGGAUAAUAUCGCGGUCUCGCAUGAGGCUGCGAAGAAAGGCGAAAGCCACUUUCGGAUGAGCCCGCGACCCAUCAGCUAGUUGGUGAGGUAACGGCUCACCAAGGCGACGACGGGUAGCCGGUCUGAGAGGAUGGUCGGCCACACUGGGACUGAGAUACGGCCCAGACUCCUACGGGAGGCAGCAGUCGGGAAUAUUGGGCAAUGGGCGAAAGCCUGACCCAGCGACGCCGCGUGAGGGAAGAAGGCCUUCGGGUCGUAAACCUCUGUCAUCGGGGACGAAGGAAGUGACGGUACCCGAGGAGGAAGCCCCUGCUAACUACGUG
Molecule: ribosomal RNA, 474 nt
Filed under: uncultured bacterium
Lineage: Bacteria
Description: bacterial SSU rRNA
Rfam family: Bacterial small subunit ribosomal RNA
Source: RNAcentral